AUAAAAUCAGAUUAUAUUGUUAAUAUGGUCAUACACUUAUUUAACAUAUAAAUGAACUUAAAUUAUUUUCGAUUUUUGAUAAAGGCACAUUAUCGUGUUGUCAACUGGAGGAAAGGCGAGCCCAAAAAACCUCUUUAAGCAGUGAUUAAAAUUUUUUUGGAAAAUCAUCAAAAUAUUGAUAAGGAAAACGUAACUAUGAGGAAAUACCUUGUAAGCGUCGCGGUCUACAUUUGCAGCUGAUCCUUUUUUGAAAAAAGGAACAAUGUGGACAGGAACACGUUUUUGCAUCGUAACUGGACAAAGCAGGAAAUUGGUGGAUUGUUAUAAGUGCGAUUUUAUUCAAAUUUUGGUUACAUAUUAAUUUACAGACGAGUGACAAAAUUACAAAUAAAUCACAUGAAAAGCGGACUGUACGGCGUAAAAUAUUUUCUUCCUGUGCUAACUCAGAUCAAAUAAAUGAAGGUCAUUGAGGAGUCGAGACAUUACUUGCAUCAUUAAAGUAGUUAUUAUUCAGUUCUCAAGGUGUGUUCAAGUUUUUGAAAAAAAUAGUCGAGUUUGGUGAAAAAUAAUGAUGACAGGAAAGGUGAAAACGUUCGUGGGGGCCCAGCCUAAAGCCUGGGCUGUGGAAGCCUUGACGAUUAAAAUGCGGGGUUGGUAUUUGUGCAUGGAUGAUAAAACCAACUGGCCUUGAGGGGGCGAACAUGUGUUUGUGAGUUUGACUCGCGAGAACGAGAUGUCUUGGUUCAUCCAGUGCGAGCCUUUAGAGGGCGACUCCGGGUGCAUGUAGAUCCGGUGGGGGCUCUGGGCCUCCUCGUGGCCUGCGGGGGACCAGCCCACCGAAGAGGAGAAUUUGAAGCGGCAGUGGUGGGCUAAGGUCAUCUCCAGGAAGAGGCAGUAGUCGGCGGAUGGGUCCAAGUCGGUGAUUUUGAGGUUUAAGGCCGGGAACAUGCGCCUGAAUAAAAGAAAAAAACAUGCGUCAGGACCACAAAGGAUAAACUAAUGUUUCUGACUUAUUAACUGAUUAAUGAUUUAAAAAAAUUGUGCUUGUCGGCACUCGUUUCUUUAAAUUGUUCGUUCGUAAUGUAAAAAGCAGAAAUAAAUAAAUAAAUUGAUUAUUUUCAA
This is a long non-coding RNA of Tribolium castaneum (red flour beetle), 1122 nucleotides long. RefSeq lists it as uncharacterized. The transcript has 2 exons. The record is from RefSeq and is a predicted model, not a curated record. NCBI's taxonomy places the organism in Eukaryota, Metazoa, Arthropoda, Insecta, Coleoptera, Tenebrionidae.